UACGGGGGGGGCAAGCGUUGUUCGGAUUUACUGGGCGUAAAGGGCUCGUAGGCGGCCAACUAAGUCAGACGUGAAAUCCCCAGGCUCAACCUGGGAACUGCGUCUGAUACUGGAUGGCUUGAAUCCGGGAGAGGGAUGCAGAAUUCCAGGUGUAGCGGUGAAAUGCGUAGAUAUCUGGAGGAAUACCGGUGGCGAAGGCGGCAUCCUGGACCGGCAUUGACGCUGAGGAGCGAAAGCCAGGGGAGCAAACGGG
Molecule: ribosomal RNA, 253 nt
Filed under: uncultured bacterium
Lineage: Bacteria
Description: partial 16S ribosomal RNA
Rfam family: Bacterial small subunit ribosomal RNA
Source: RNAcentral